Molecule: long non-coding RNA, 1121 nt
Organism: Octopus bimaculoides (California two-spot octopus)
Lineage: Eukaryota; Metazoa; Mollusca; Cephalopoda; Octopoda; Octopodidae
Source: RefSeq, a predicted model, not a curated record
UGGCUGAAUCAUGAAAUCGUUGGUUAUUCGUUAGGUUAAUUAGCCCUGCACUUCUCACACUGAGUUCAAAUCAUGCCAAUUUCAAUCUUUUUAGUCAUGUUGCAGUCAAAGUACCAGUUUUGCAUUGGGGUAGAUUUAUAUCUCUAUCUUCUUUCCACCUGACAAAGCUGCACCUGUAUUUCAAAGACGAUCUAGCAAGAUAUGUGAAGAGUUUUUUAAAGAUAUAACUGUGUUAAUAUGGAUGCACGACGGUCAUGGAGGAAAAAAUCUCAUACUUUAAACAGAAAAUUUAAGACCUGAUACUUGCAGCAGAGAAAAAUAUAAUGAACAUAGACAAUCCCAAAUUGUAUAUAGGACAGGAAGUCAGCAAGCAAACACAGAAACUGAGCAAAACCGGAAAUGAUUAUUGCAUAAUAUGCAUCAAAUUGCACAUUGAAUAUUGAUGCGGUUAAUUAGUUAGAUCGCGAUAAUCUAUGAUGUGGUCCCAUGCAGCCACUGGAAGCGUAAUAGUUUUAAUUUUGCGGAAAUUACUCUUAAGGAUGGGUGGAUUGGGACUUGUGUGCGCCAAUUAAUCUCAAGGAUCAUGAGUUCGAGUCCAAAGCACUACUUUUAGCUACAGCAAAUAUUCUGCUCAAUACCACGGAUUUGCCUGUCAGUUGUUUGAUCUUAAAUAGUUGAAUCCCAGCGAACGGUCUUUGUGGAAUCUGGCUUCUCGAGGUGGUCAUUAAACUCUGCAGUAAUUUUGGGAGCUGUACGUUUGUGACCCUUUCUAACAAUUCGCGUAAGAGUCCAAUGAUCCCAGUCUGAAAGUUUUCGUUUUCUUCCGGAGUUUUGUUUCCAUGAGGUAGUUUUCCCUCUUUCUCAAAUGCUGCUAUUACUUUCGAGACAGUACUUCUUGACACACCAAACAUUCGGCUGUUUUAGUUACGCUAGCGCCUGCCAUACGAGCACCAACAAUUUGACUUCUUUGAAAAUCUUAUAGAUCUGUGAUUUUAAUGAAUUUUAAUUACCGUUUUCUGAGGACAUCUGAAAAGAAACAGCAAUUUUAGCAAAACUUAUUAAGCAACACUAAUAAUAAAUAAAAAAAAAACAUAGAAAUGAACAAGAUUUUGACAGUUUUA